Molecule: long non-coding RNA, 7433 nt
Filed under: Homo sapiens (human)
Lineage: Eukaryota; Metazoa; Chordata; Mammalia; Primates; Hominidae
Description: HSALNT0130147
Source: RNAcentral
AGACAGAAACUAAAAACCGUGAGUUCAGGCAGCUAGAAACCUAAAAUAAAAGAAAACGGAACAACAACAACAACAACGAAAAUAAGGACCUUAAGAAUCUGGGAAGAAUUAGCCACACUCUAAUUUAGGAACAGAGAUGGAUGAAUCCACCUAUGGACAUUUACUGGUCGGCUCCAAGGCUACACAAGCAGCAAGAAGAAAAGGAAAAACUCUGUUUUAUUAAAGCUCCACUUGCCUAUCUACCUUGGUGGAGGGUCAAGAAAAGGUUUAUAACCUAUUUGCAGGUUUUAGGCUCCUGUUUGCAGCACAGAAACCACAGACAAUAGAAAUUCAGACUCAGUGGUGUGGCAGAAGAUAAAAUAAUUUGGGUUAUUUCUGUGAUAACAUGGGCAAUCUGGAAACUACUCCCAUUUGUGAGGGUAAAUCUCUAUUAUGAUACAUGGAAAAUAGGACAGAUGCUAAUUCAGGUAAGAAAAGGUCUUUGUAUUAUACAAAUAUUUACCUUCAGACAGAAAUGUUAAUGAAGAUGGAGAAGGAACAGUUACCAAGAAACUAGGGAUAGUAGGACACAAAAAACCUGGUAACCUGGUAGUGAGUAUGAACCAGUCUGGUGCCUUGCCUCCAGAGGAGCAGCAACUGAGCAGAGCUACUGGACAACCAGCCCUGCACUUCCCUAGAGCACAGACCAGCUCACUAUGCAGCCACCAAGAGAUAAGCACCGAAGGAGAACCUACCAGCCAUGGAUCCUCAGAAAACAGACCAGCUAAGUGCCCAGCCUUCAGGGGACAAGCAGCUGAGUGGGCAUACCAGCCACACAAACUUCUGCAGCCAAGGCCACUGAGGUACUUGCAGGCACCACUGACAUUAACUACAGCUAAAGAAGCUGCAUGGAGACUACACUACUGCAUCCACCCAGAACAAAAACAAAUGUACCUUACCCAACCAACAUGCUAGGACACAUCUGCAGGUGUAAGUCUUUUCCGCUGAAAGUUAUGCUACCAAGUUAGAAAAGGUGAUUAUUCCAUCAGAUGCACAGAUGCCAGUGCAGGGAUACAAGAAACAUAAAAAAGCAAGGGAACAUGACACCACCAAAGAAACACAAUAAUUCUCUAGUAACUGACCCCAAUAAAAAAAUAAAAAUUUAUGAAUUGCCUGAAAAGGAAUUCAAGAUAGUGAGCCUAAGGAAACUUGGUGAGACAUGAAAGAACACAAACGGAUCAUUCAACAAUCGGGAAAAACAGUUCAUGAUCUGAAUGAGAAAUUCAACAAAGAGAGAGAUAUCAUAAAAAAGAACAAAAUAGAAAUCUUGGGGCCAAGAAAUUCAAUGAAUGAAAUAAAAAAACGCAAUUGAGAGCUUCAACAGCAAAAUAGAUCAAACAGAAGAAUUUUUGAACUUGAAAACAGGCCUUUUGAAAUAGUCCAGUCAGAGGUAAAGAAAAAAAAAAAGGAAUGAAGAAGCCUAUGGCAUUUAUGGGACACCAUAAGUGAACAAAUGUUUGCAUUUUGGCAACUUAAGAAGAAGAGAUGAAGAAAGGCAAAGAAAGCUUAUUUAACAAAGUAAUAGUUGAAAACUUCCCAAGUCUUGGGGAGAUAUGGACAUCCAGAUCCAUGAAGUUCAAAGGAUCCCACAAAGAUUCAACUCAAAGAGGUCCUCUCUGAGGCAUAUAACCAAACUGUCAAAAGUCAAAGACAAAGAAAAAAAUACUAAAAGCAGCAUGAGAAAAACAUCAAGUCACAUAUAAGGGAAUUGCCAUUGGACUAUUAGCAGAUUUCCCAGCAGCAACCUUGCAGGCCAGGAGAGAAUGGGAUGAUAUAUUUAAAAUACUAGAAGAAAAAAAGCUGCUAGCCUAGAAUACUAUACCAGCAAAUCUUUGCUUCAGAAAUGAAGGAGAAAUAGUCUUUCCCAGAUCAGCAAAAGUUGAGGGAACUCAUUACCACUGGACCAGACUUACAAGAAAUGCUUGAGUAUUUCUAUUGGAAAAAAAAGUUUUCAUGAUAAUUGCUACCAUAAAAAAACAUGAAGUAUAAAUCUCACUGCUGGAGAUAAAUGCAUUAUCAAAUUCAUAAUGCUUCAUUACUGCAAUGGUGAUAUGUAAUGUUUCAAACCUCUAGUAUGAAGGUUAAAGGCCAAAACAGCUGGGUGCUGUGGCAUGUGCUUGUAGUCCCAGUUAUUUAGGAGGCUGAAAUGGAAGGCUCAUUUGAGCCCAGGGGUUUGAGUCCAACCUGGGCAACAUAAUGAGACCCCAUUUAAAAAAUAAUAAUAAUUAAAAAAAUGCAGCUCUGUGGGAUGCCAAAAAGUGAAAAUUGUAAUAAUGAUUAUAGCAAUGAUAAGUUGUUAAGGAAUAAACAAUAUAUAAAGAUGUAUAUUAAAGCAACAAAAUUAUAAAUUUGGGUGCAGAAUGAAAGUCUAGAGUAUUGGUAUGCAAUGAAAGUUAACUUGUUAUCAGCUUAAAAUAGUCUAUUAUAAGUAUGAGAGAUUUUUAAUGUAACCCCAAUACUAAUCACAAAGAAAAAAUUACAACAGAUAUACAAAUGAGAAAGAGAAAGGAAUCAAAGCUUAACACAACAAAUACCCUAAUCAAGCCACAGAGAUAAACAUGAGAGAGGAAGAAAGGAACAAAGGAUAAACAAAACAACCAGAAAAUAAUGAACAAAAUGGCAGAAGUCCUUACCUAUCAAUAAUAACUUUGAAUGUAAAUGAAAUAAAUUCCCAAUUAAAACAUACGCCGUGGCUGAAUGGAUUAAAUUAAAAAAAAAAAAAAACAAGAUUCAGCAACAUGCUGCCUACCAGAUAGGCACUUCACCUAUAAGGCCACACAUAGACUGAAGUGAAAGAAGAGAAAAUGAAAUUCUGUGAAAAUGGAAACCAAAACAAAGCAGGGGUAGUAAUACUUACAUCAGACAAAAUAGACUUUAAGUAAAAAACUGUCAAAAGAGAAAAGAAGGUCAUUAUAUAAAGAAAGAUAAAGAAAUCAGUUCAGCAGAAGGUUAGGACAGUUGUCAGUAUAUGAGCACACAACACCAGAACACCCAAUAUAUAAAGUAAAUAUAUAAAGCAAAUAUUAUGAGAUCUAAAGGGAGAGAAAAAUUAAAAUAAAAUAAAAAAGGACUUUAGCACCCUCUUUCAGCAAUGGAUGGAUCAUCUAGAUAGAAAAUCAACAAAGAAUUAUCAGAUUUAAAUUACAUUCUAGACCAAAUAGCCCCAGCAGAUAUUUAUAAAACAUUCCCCUCAAUAACUACUGAAUGUACAUUUUGCUCAACAGCACAUGGAACUUUUCUCCACGAUAGAAUAUAUGUUAGUCCACAAAACAUAUCUCAAGCAAUCAAAAAAAUCAAAAUCUUAUCAAGUAUCUUCUCUUACCACAAUGCAAUAAAAACUAGAAAUGAAUACCAAGAGGAACUAUGGAACAUAUACGAAUAUGUGAAAACUAAAAACAAGUUUUUACAAAACCAGGGCAUCAAUAAAGAAAUUAAAAAGAAAAUUUAAAAAUUCCUUGAGACAAAUAAAAGGAAACAUAAUGUACCAAGACCUAUGGGAUACAGCAAAAGCUAUUCUAAGAGGGAGUUUAUAGCAAUAGAUGCCUACAUCAAAAAAGUAUAAGAAUCUUUUAUAAAAACUUUAUGUGGCACCUCAAGGAAUGAGAAAAACGAGGGCCAGCUGAACCCUAAACUACUAGAAGAGAAGACUGAUAAAGAUCAAGCAGAAAUAAGUGAAAUAGAGCCUGAAAAUAAUAUAAAAAUCAGUAGAACAAAAAGUUGGUCCUUUGAAAGAUAAACAAAUGUUUUAGCUAGACUAACAAAAAAGAGAAGACUCAAAUAAAUAUAAUCAGAGCUAAAAAAGGAGAUGUCACAGAAAUACAAAGGAUCAUAGAAGACUUUUAUGAGCAAUUAUAUGCCAAUAAACUGGAAAACCUAAAAGAAAUAAAUAAAUUCCUGGACACAUGCAACCUACCAAAGUUGAACUACUAUGAAGAAAUAAAAUACCUACACAGGCCAAUAAUGUGUAACAAGAAUGAAUCAGUAAUAAUAAGUCUCCCGUCAAAGAAAAGCCCAGGAACUGAUGACUUUACUGCUAAGUUCUACCAAACAUGUAAAUAAUAAUAUCACUUCUUUUCAAACUAUUCUAAAAAGUUGAAGAGGUGCAAAUUCUUCCACACUCAUUCUAUGAGGCCAACAUUAUCAAAACCAGACAAGGAUAACUUGAUAAAAAGAAAACUACAGGCCAAUCUCCUUUAUCAACAUAGAUGCAAAAAUCUUUAACAAAAUAUAAGUGAAACAAAUUCAACAGCAUAUUGAAAAAAUAAUUCACCACAAUCAAGUGAGAUUCAUCCCAGGGAUGCAAGGAUGGUUUAACAUAUGUAAAUCACAAAUGUGAUACAUCACAUUAACAGAAUGAAGGACAAAAAUGACAUAAUCAUUUUAAUAGACAAAGAAAAAAAUUUGAUAAAAUUUAACAUCCCUUCAUGAUAAAAAUUCUCAGCAAAUGAGAUGUAGAAGUAAUAUACCUCAACACAAUAAAGGCCAUAAAUGAGAAGCUCAUAGAUAACAUCAUACUGAAGAAGUUGAAAGCUAUUCCUCUAUGAUCUGCAAUAAGACAAGGAUGCCGCAUUUAUCACUUUUGUUGAACAUACUACUGGAAAUCCAAGCCAGAGCAAUUAGGCAAGAGAAAUGAAAGGCAUCCAAAUAGGAAAGGGGGAAGUCAAAUUGUCCUUGUUUGCAGAUGACAUUAUCUUAUAUAUAGAAAAUCCUAAAGAUUCCACAAAAAACUGUUAGAAUAAAUAAAUUCAAUAAAGUUGCAGGAUACAAACUCAACAUGCAAAAAUCAGUAGUGUUUCUAUAUGCCAGUAGCAAGCUACCUAAAAAAAGAUAUCAAGAAAGCAAUCCACUGACAAUAGCUAUAAAAUAAAUACCCAGGAAUAUAGUUAACAAAGGAGGUGAAACAUCUUGAGUGGAAACUAUAGAAUAUGGAUAAAAUAAAUUGAAGAGGACACAAAUAAAUAGAAAGAUAAUAAUGAAUUGCAAAAAUUAAUAUUGUCAAAAUGUCCAUAUUAUCCAAAGCAAUUUACUAAUUCAAUGCAAUCCCUAUUCUUCACAGAAAUAGAAAAAAAAAUCCUAAAACUUCUAUGGAACCACAAAAGACCCCAAAUAGCCAAAGUAAUCCUUAGCAAAAAUAAAGCUCGAGGCAUCACACUACCUGACUUUAAAAUAUACUAUAAAGCUAUAGUAACCAAAUCAACAUGGUACUGGUAUAAAAAUAGACACAUAGAUAACUGAAACAGAAUACAGAACAGAAAUAAAUCCAUGCACUUACAGCCAACUGAUUUUCAACAAAAGUGUCAGCAACAUGCAUUAGGAAAAGGAGAGGCUUUUCAAUAGAUGGCACUGGGAAAACUGAAUAUCCACAUGUAGAAGAAUAAAAUUAGACCCCUGUCUCUUACCAUAUGUAAAAAUUAGUUCAAAAUUGAUUAAAAACUUUAAUGUAAGACCUGAAACUGUAAGCAUCCUAGAAGAAAACAUGGGAGAAACAAUUCAUGACAUUGGUCUCGGCAAGAAUUUUUUGAAUAAGACCUCAAAAGCAUACAACAAAAGCAAAUAUAGAGAAAUGGUACUAUAUUAAACUAAAAUGCUUCUGUACAGCAAAGGAAACAGAUUGAAGUUAACUUAAGGAAUGGGAGAAAACAUAUGCAAACUAUGCAUCUGACAAGGGGUUAAUGCCUAGAAUAUAUAGAAAAAUAACUCAAUAGCAGAAAAAUAAAUAAUUCCAUUUAAAGAUGGGCAAAAUGCCUAAAUAGACAUUUCUCUAAAGAAGACAUACUAAUGCUUAGCAUCACUAAUCAUCAGGGAAAUGCAAAUAAAACCAUAAUGACAUAUCACCUCAGUCCAGUUAGAAUGGCUAUUAUCAAAAAGACAAAAAAUAACAAAUGUUGGGGUAGAUGUGAAGAAAGAGGAAGUCUCAUAUGCUGUUGUAAAUUAGUCCAGCAAUGAUGGAAAACAGAAUGAAGGUUCCUAAAAAAGUUAAAAAAUAGAAGUACCAUAUGAUCCAGAAUCCCACUACUGAGUAUAUAUCCAAAGGAAAUAAAAUCAGUUAUGUGGAAGAGAUAUCUGCAUUCCCAUGUUUAUUGCAGCAUUAUUCACAGUAGUUGCAUGGAAUCAACCUAAGUGUCCAUCAGUGGAUGAAUGGAUAAAGAAAAUGUGGUGUAUAUAUACAAUGGAAGACUAUUCAACCAUAAAAAGAAAUUUUGUCAUUUGUGGCAACGUAAUUGGGCCCAGAGGACAUUAUGUUAAGUAAAAUAAGCCAGGCAUGUAAAGACGAAUACUGUACAAUCUCACACAAAAGUGGAUUCUAUAAUUUAAAAAGUUGAUUUAAUAGCAGCAGAGCGUAGAAUAGUGGUUGCCAGAGGCUUGGGAGGGUAGUGGGGCAGGGGAGAUGGGGAUAGACUGGUCAACAGGUACAAAGGUUCAGUUAGAUAGGAAUAAGUUCUGGUGUUCUAUUGCACAGUAGGGUGACUAUAGUUAACAAUAUUAUAUUGUAUAUUUCAAAAUAGCUAGAAGAGAGGAUUUUGAAUGUUCUUACCACAAAGGGAUGAUAAAUGUUUGAGGUGAAAAAUAUGCUAAAUACCCUGAUUUGAUCAUCACAAAAUAUAUACGUGUAUCAAAACAUCACACUAUACCCUAUAAAUAUGUACAAUUAUUAUGAGUCAAUUAAAAGUAAAAUAAAACUUAAAAAAAAGAAACUUGGUGGCCUAAAGAUUUCCACUAGAUAGUUGGCUGUUUCUCCCAAGUACAGGGUUAAAAAUAGCUGAAAAGAGGUUACGAUGUUCAGGGAAAGUAGCAAAGAGUACACCAGGGAGACUGACAGAUGGACAGAAAUGCUCUGACACUAGCUGGCCUCAUAUAAGACUAAAACUUAUUAAAGCUGUCAAAUGAAGGGGAGUGCAGGAAAGCUUAGGGCCCUGGAUGGUCCUUCUUGAAAUGUUUCCCAGAACAGGGGCAAACAUCAAAGGCCUUCUUGGAAAAGAAUGAAGUUGGCAAACUUCAUUCAAUGCUGUAUUGGACAUUCCUUCAUUCAACAAAUAUUAAAACCCACUAGAUGGUAAGCUUACUCAGCAGACAUGGUGAGAUCAGCAGUAGGCUUUGUUUUUUGUGGAACACCUAUACAAACAAAAGAAUGUGAAGUGUGUUUUAAUAACUGGAAGAUACUUAAUCUGGUUGGAAAUAGAGACUUGUGGGGAGAUAUCAUGAGCCUGGACACAUCAAGUGGACCUAGAUACUUGAGGACCUUGAAAACCAUUUUAAAGGCUUUAGCUGGGUUGCAUCUUAAUCAAUGUGAAGUCACUGGAAGAUUUUUAUUUGGGUUUAUUAAAAAUUUUUUCAAAGUAAUACAUGCACAAGGUAAAAAAUUAAAUAGUACAGAAGGACUUAAAAUGAAAAAC